CACAAACAAUAGAGCUUUUAUUAGAUUGACACAUUUAAGUCGAACAGUCACAUAAGAGAGAUGCAAAUAUCAAAACAUGGUAUAAAACAGCAUGGAUUAACAUCUGAUUGAUCAUCUCAAAUGGCUUCCCCCUUUCCGUAUAAUUUACCAACCCUGUCACCACCAGAAACAAGAACGACAAGUGAACACUCCUCAAAUGCUUGCAUCUCAUCUCAACGUGAGGCCAAGCAUUUGAGGAGUGUUCA
RNAcentral lists this unclassified non-coding RNA (245 nucleotides) under Hevea brasiliensis (rubber tree). The record is from RNAcentral. Lineage: Eukaryota; Viridiplantae; Streptophyta; Magnoliopsida; Malpighiales; Euphorbiaceae.